Molecule: ribosomal RNA, 460 nt
Filed under: uncultured bacterium
Lineage: Bacteria
Description: partial 16S ribosomal RNA
Rfam family: Bacterial small subunit ribosomal RNA
Source: RNAcentral
GACGAACGCUGGCGGCGUGCUUAACACAUGCAAGUCGAACGGUGAAGCCCUUCGGGGUGGAUCAGUGGCGAACGGGUGAGUAACACGUGAGCAACCUGCCCCUGGCUCUGGGACAACCACUGGAAACGGUGGCUAAUACCGGAUACGACCCGCCUCGGCAUCGAGUGUGGGUGGAAAGUUUUUCGGCUGGGGAUGGGCUCGCGGCCUAUCAGCUUGUUGGUGAGGUGAAGGCUCACCAAGGCGACGACGGGUAGCCGGCCUGAGAGGGCGACCGGCCACACUGGGACUGACACGGCCCAGACUCCUACGGGAGGCAGCAGUGGGGAAUAUUGCACAAUGGGCGAAAGCCUGAUGCAGCGACGCCGCGUGAGGGAUGACGGCCUUCGGGUUGUAAACCUCUUUCAGCUCCGAAGAAGCGAAAGUGACGGUAGGAGCAGAAGAAGCACCGGCUAACUACGUG